GGUUGUGGCUCAAUGGUAGAGCACUUGCCUAGCAUGUGUGAGGCACUGGGUUCGAUUCUCAGCACCA
Molecule: transfer RNA, 67 nt
Filed under: Marmota monax (woodchuck)
Lineage: Eukaryota; Metazoa; Chordata; Mammalia; Rodentia; Sciuridae
Description: tRNA.Ala
Rfam family: tRNA
About the family: Transfer RNA (tRNA) molecules are approximately 80 nucleotides in length. Their secondary structure includes four short double-helical elements and three loops (D, anti-codon, and T loops). Further hydrogen bonds mediate the characteristic L-shaped molecular structure. tRNAs have two regions of fundamental functional importance: the anti-codon, which is responsible for specific mRNA codon recognition, and the 3' end, to which the tRNAs corresponding amino acid is attached (by aminoacyl-tRNA synthetases). tRNAs cope with the degeneracy of the genetic code in two manners: having more than one tRNA (with a specific anti-codon) for a particular amino acid; and 'wobble' base-pairing, i.e. permitting non-standard base-pairing at the 3rd anti-codon position.
Source: RNAcentral